CCUACGGGUGGCAGCAGUGAGGAAUAUUGGUCAAUGGCCGGAAGGCUGAACCAGCCAUGCCGCGUGAAGGUCAGUGCCCUAUGGGCGUUAAACUUCUUUUGUGCGGGAGCAAUAAUGGUCCCGUGUGGCCAGACGAGAGUACCGUACGAAUAAGCAUCGGCCAAAACCGUGCCAGCAGCCGCGGUUAUACGGGGGGUGCACGCGUUAGCCGGAUUUUUUUGGUUUAAAGGGGUCGUAGGAUGGGAGGUAAGUGAGCGGGGGAAGACCCCGGGUCUACGGGGUGAAGUGCAGUUGAUACUGCCUUGCUGGAAUGCGGAAGCAGUGGGAGGAAUGUGUGGUGUAGCGGUGAAAUGCAUAGAUAUCACGCAGAACACCGAUUGCGAAGGCAUCUCACGGAUCCGCGAUUGACGCUGAUGCACGAAAGCGUGGGUAUCAAACAGGAUUAGAUAUCCGGGUAGUC
This 460-nucleotide ribosomal RNA is filed under the name uncultured bacterium. RNAcentral describes it as "partial 16S ribosomal RNA". It matches the Rfam family "Bacterial small subunit ribosomal RNA", at positions 338 to 795 of the family's 1533-position model. The record is from RNAcentral.